GAUGAACGCUGGCGGCGUGCCUAACACAUGCAAGUCGAGCGGCAGCGAGGGGUGCUUGCACCCUGUCGGCGAGCGGCGGACGGCUGAGUAACGCGUGGGAACGUGUCCCAAAGUGAGGAAUAACUGCCCGAAAGGGUAGCUAAUACCGCAUAUUAUCUUCGGAUCAAAGGAUUUAUCCGCUUUGGGAGCGGCUCGCGUCGGAUUAGGUAGUUGGUGAGGUAAUGGCUCACCAAGCCGACGAUCCGUAGCUGGUCUGAGAGGAUGACCAGCCAGACUGGAACUGAGACACGGUCCAGACUCCUACGGGAGGCAGCAGUGAGGAAUCUUCCACAAUGGGCGAAAGCCUGAUGGAGCAACGCCGCGUGCAGGACGAAGGCCUUCGGGUUGUAAACUGCUUUUAUAAGUGAGGAAUAUGACGGUAACUGAUGAAUAAGGAGCGGCUAACUACGUG
This 451-nucleotide ribosomal RNA is filed under the name uncultured bacterium. RNAcentral's name for it is "partial 16S ribosomal RNA". It matches the Rfam family "Bacterial small subunit ribosomal RNA", at positions 28 to 507 of the family's 1533-position model. The record is from RNAcentral.